GACGAACGCUGGCGGCGUGCUUAACACAUGCAAGUCGAACGAUGAAGCCGGAGCUUGCUCUGGUGAAUUAGUGGCGAACGGGUGAGUAACACGUUAGUAACCUGCCCUUGACUCUGGGAUAACUGCUAGAAAUGGUAGCUAAUACCGGAUACGACCCUCGGAGGCAUCACCAGGGGGUGGACAGAAUUUCGGGAAAGACUGGACUCGGGGCCUAUCAGCUAGUUGGUGAGGUAAUGGCUCACAACGGCGACGACGGGUAGCCGGCCUGAGAGGGUGACCGGCCACACUGGGACUGAGAAACGGCCCAGACUCCUACGGGAGGCAGAAGUGGGGAAUAUUGCACAAUGGGCGCAAGCCUGAUGCAGCAACGCCGCGUGAGGGAUGACGGCCUUCGGGUUGUAAACCUCUUUUAGUAGGGAAGAAGCGAAAGUGACGGUACCUGCAGAAAAAGCACCGGCUAACUACGUGCCAGCCGCCGCCGUAA
This 484-nucleotide ribosomal RNA is filed under the name uncultured bacterium. Its description in RNAcentral is "partial 16S ribosomal RNA". It matches the Rfam family "Bacterial small subunit ribosomal RNA", at positions 28 to 523 of the family's 1533-position model. The record is from RNAcentral.